Molecule: ribosomal RNA, 408 nt
Filed under: uncultured bacterium
Lineage: Bacteria
Description: partial 16S ribosomal RNA
Rfam family: Bacterial small subunit ribosomal RNA
Source: RNAcentral
GACGAACGCUGGCGGCGUGCUUAACACAUGCAAGUCGAACGAUGGGGCGAAGGGGUGAGUUUUACGUGUGACACGUGCCCUUUACUGGGAGAUAAGCCUGAGAAACGGGGUCUUAUACUGCAUUGUUGGGGAUGGGCUCGCGGCCUAUCAGCUUGUUGGUGGGGUGAUGGCCUACCAAGGCGGUGACGGGUAGCCGGCCUGAGAGGGUGGCCGGCCACAUUGGGACUGAGAGACGGCCCAGACUCCUACGGGAGGCAGCAGUGGGGGAUAUUGCACAAUGGGCGCAAGCCUGAUGCAGCGACGCCGCGUGGGGGAUGAAGGCUUUCGGGUUGUAAACCUCUUUCGGUACCGAACGGGUAUGUGCAGAAGAAGCGCCGGCUAACUACGUGCCAGCAGCCGCGGUAAUUC